GGCGCUAACCGAAUCCUUUUGAUCCCUGCGUGAAGCAUGGCAGGAUGAGGUGGCAUUUCCAGAAUUAGGGUCUCGUGAGGGUGGAGAGGGAAGCACGUCAAACUGGAUUGCAGAUCUUGGAGUAACUGCCACAUUAGGGUACGCGCUUGGAACAAAGGCAGGAGCGGUAUGGGUGGGCUGUGCUUUUGCAGCUAGAUGCCGUGCUUGGCGGGUUAUUUCUUGGAGCAGUGGAACGUCGUGGAGGAUCGCCUUGGCUGCCUUGAUCACGAUGAAGACGGUGAGGGCAGUCGUCUUGGGCAUGGAGACCUUGCGUGUUAUAGAUGCCGCAGAUGGGCUGGUACUCAAUUGAUCCUCGUGCAUUUGGACACUCGGGAGCCCGGCUGUUGGCGACGAAAGCAGAUGAUUGGAUGUCGAGCUUGACCCCUUCUAGGUACAUUACUCGUUCAUGCUGGAGCUGCUGCAUAAACGGGUACUAGAUUGGGCAUAUAACCUUAUAGAAGCAGAGGUGGCAAUGGAUCUCGAAGGAGCUGGGGCUGGACGUGGUAGCUGGGACGUGCAGGUGUGCAAGGAGCUGGCUGAGUUGAGGUACCGGGUUUAUACAUGCAGUGCUCUGAUCUGUGAUUAUUUCGUCUACAGUGCUGGCACUUAACUUGAGCUGGUGUAGGAUUUGGGCAUUUGCUGGGAUAAUGUCCAUAUCCCUUGCAACAAGUACACUAGAUAUUCUCACGUUCAGUAAUGGGUUGAGGUAGUGUCUGGACUCCUUAAAUCCAGUUAACCUGAAGCUCAAACAUUUUCUUGGUAAGUGUUUCUAAAUUGUCACAUACUUUGGAGAUUUCUUGCAAUUGUGGCAGAGUUGAAGAGGAAGUAGCCACGGCAAGAAGUACAUGCUGUUAAAGGUGGCUGUAAUUGAUAGUUCUAAGGAAAGGUAAAUUCAUUGAAUCAGUGAAUGAAGGAUGUAACUGUGAUGCUACUGAUGUUUGCAAGGAGGGAAAGGUUGGCGGAAUCACUACCAAACACUGAAAGAAUGGAGUAGAAAAACUGCUGGAAGUGAGCCAUGCUCACGCAGGCUUGCUCCCAACUGGAAGCCGUGGAAAUAGCCUCAGCAAGUGUUGUGGGAGUCUGGCCCUUUGUGAAGAAAGCCAAUUUGGGAGGCAGGGCGUUUGUGAAGAAGCGAACCUGAUCGUCCUUGCUGGGAGGAGGGAGCGACUAGUCACUGAAACCGGAUGAUAAAACGUUGUAAACUUUCAUUUGGCAGCAAUCAAGUGUAGUUAAGUUCCUCACUAACUUGCUGUAUGAAUCCGAGAAAGGCUGAUCGAAGCAGGUCCCAGAAUGCACUGGCUGGUGCAGAAUGCUAGGCUUGGAGAUACCACUCCAGAGCAGCGUCUUGGAGUGUAGCAGGGAAGAACCAAAGGUGAUUGGCUUCAUCGGCUUCUUGGUUGGCGAUGCCAGCAGUCUCAAAGGAAUUGAGAUGUACAGAGCUUGGAGUUUGGCUUGGGUAAGGCUUAUGGGAGCUUUCUGGAGCAUGGAGCUUGAACGUUGUGCGUGGAGUUGGAGUGCAAAGUUGGAGAGAACGAGGAGAUCCAAGAAAGUUAAUUUACU
Molecule: long non-coding RNA, 1599 nt
Filed under: Selaginella moellendorffii
Lineage: Eukaryota; Viridiplantae; Streptophyta; Lycopodiopsida; Selaginellales; Selaginellaceae
Description: long non-coding RNA (SMOE_LNC001243)
Source: RNAcentral